CUGCUGCCUUCCGUAGGAGUCUGGGCCGUGUCUCAGUCCCAGUGUGGCCGUCCACCCUCUCAGGCCGGCUGCUGAUCGUCGCUUUGGUGGGCCGUUACCCCGCCAACUGGCUAAUCAGACGCGGGCCCAUCCUGUACCACCGGAGUUUUCAAAGGGUUACCAUGCGGUAUUCCCUAUUAUGCGGUAUUAGCACCUAUUUCUAAGUGUUAUCCCCCGGUACAGGGCAGGUUGCCCACGCGUUACUCACCCGUCCGCCACUAAGACAGAU
Molecule: ribosomal RNA, 268 nt
Filed under: uncultured bacterium
Lineage: Bacteria
Description: partial 16S ribosomal RNA
Source: RNAcentral